Molecule: ribosomal RNA, 460 nt
Filed under: uncultured bacterium
Lineage: Bacteria
Description: partial 16S ribosomal RNA
Rfam family: Bacterial small subunit ribosomal RNA
Source: RNAcentral
CCUACGGGCGGCAGCAGUGAGGAAUAUUGGUCAAUGGCCGUAAGGCUGAACCAGCCAAGUAGCGUGAGGGAAGACUGCCCUAUGGGUUGUAAACCUCUUUUAUGCGGGGAUAAAGGUGUACACGUGGGGAUGUUUGCAGGUACCGCAUGAAUAAGGACAGGCUAAUUCCGUGCCAGCAGCCUCGGUACUACGGAGGGUCCGGGCGUUAUCCGGAUUUAUUGGGUUUAAAGGGAGCGUAGGCGGGUGGUUAAGCGUGCAGUGAAAUUUUGUGGCUCAACCAUGAGCGUGCGGCGCGUACUGGAGACCUUGAGUGCGCGGAAGGCAGGCGGAAUUCGUGGUGUAGCGGUGAAAUGCUUAGAUAUCACGAAGAACCCCGAUUGCGAAGGCAGCCUGCCGCAGCGUUACUGACGCUGAAGCUCGAAAGCGCGGGUAUCGAACAGGAUUAGAUACCCCGGUAGUC